Raphanus sativus (radish) is the source of this 2194-nucleotide RNA transcript. RefSeq lists it as uncharacterized. NCBI's taxonomy places the organism in Eukaryota, Viridiplantae, Streptophyta, Magnoliopsida, Brassicales, Brassicaceae. The transcript has 10 exons. The record is from RefSeq and is a predicted model, not a curated record.
UAAGACUAAAGGCGUGGGCUUAUUGAUUUAUGGUGUCCUGUGUUUCGUUGAGACGAGAUGUAGCUCUUCCAUUUCCAAGCGUUUUUGUACUUCUUCUUCUUCACUCCCUGAACCCACUUCAUCAUCUCCACGUCCUACCAGGCGAUCUAAGGCGGCGACGGCGGAACCGGUGGGGUCUUCGUCGGUGAGCGAGAUUCCGGUUUAGAAUCAAGGACCGGUUUCGGAUCCUGGAUCGGAAUCUGGAGAGCCGGAGCUUGGAUUCUCUGUCCGCAAGCUAUGGAUGCGGAGAAGCCUGUUUCAACUGAUGUGCCUGUGAUGGAGAUCUCUCCUGAAGCCGACACAAACCCUGAAGGCGAAAUCUUGGUGACACCUACAAUAGCAGGUUAAUUUUCAUGUUUUGAGUUAACUUUUGAUGUUGAGGAUAUGCAAGAGUUGAACGUGAAGCAUGCAAGACAACAGAUGAGUUAUUGCAAUAAGCUGGCAAAACUUGAUGGAGUACUAUACCGUGCUUUGACUGGAUAUAGGUCAGGUUUUUUUCGGAAAGUAAAAAAAAAAAUUAGUUUGCAUCUUGCUAAGGAGUUAACUGAUAAUCUUUAGCAUCUUGGUUAGCUAUUAUAUGUCUUGCGCUGUGUACUGUUAGUAGGAGAGAAACUGACUAUUCUCUACGGGUUUGAAUGUAAGGAUAAUGUUUGAGACCAACACACAUUUAUCUUGGAUCACAUCUGAUUUCUAGGAGGAUGCUCAUUCUGGUGCUACGUCUCAGUCUAUCCUUUCUCACGGAUCUCCUGGGUCAGAUUUCAUAUGGAAACCAGUUUCUUAUCAACUCAUGGCCCUAGAAAAUACAAAUAAAAAGGGAUCUGUCAGAGUAAAUGACUCUCAUCAAGACAACUUGCAGUGAUCGUGCCCAUACACUUAACACACAAUGGUUAACAUCCAAAAUUUGACAGGUCUACAACUGUCUGCGUCAUUGUUUUUUACGGCCAAACUAGCCUACUUCACCAAAAAUAAGAGUGGACAGGUGUCGAGCCUAAGAUUAUUCUUGCAAUAAUCAUUAGUUCCAAAUUCGUUGGAGGUCAUCUGAAUGCAACCUCUUGAACUCAUAUUUACAUUGACAAAGAAACGCAGUCGAGCCAAAGCUUAUUUGUUGGCGAAUUACGUCUUCAGGGUUUAACAAUGGGCAGUUCGUGUAAUAUUUUUAGUAAAGGUUUGGUAUGCUCCAAAAGAUAGCAUCACCAUUAGAAUUACCAGAACCUCGACAACACUUAGCAAUAAUAUUUUUAAAUUAUCACAACAUAUCUAAUUGUCAACAAGCGCGGGGUUUCGUCUCCUAGUAGAAAUAAAACCAAACACUUAACUUAAACUGCAAGUAAGGAUGUGAUACAUCAGCAUCCCACCAUGAUUAUGAUAUCGAUCCAUCAAGUUUCAACUUCCCACAAAAUCAGAGCUUUAAAUACUAAUUAACUUUUUUUUACUUUAUUAAAAGAUAAUUUUUCCCAGUUUUAACUUUUCUUUUCCAUAUUUCGGCUAAUAUUUUUCGGCCUUGUGGAAAAGAAAACCUAGCCACGCUUUUGGCCGCGCUCAGCAUUCCCUGUAUCUCUCCUUGCGAUUCAAGUUUCAAAAUCAUGGCGAAUCUAGGCGCAGAUCACUAUUUUCUUCAUAAUCGUCAGAAAUCUAGGAAGAGUGAGAGAACUGGACCUGGUCGGUCCAGUGACGAGGAAUCUCACUUACGUUUUAUCCCUUUAGUAAUCAAAAGAGUUCCCAAUAGUAUUCCAGAAUCUUCUUCAUUGACCAGGAAGUAUCAUCACAUUCCUUUCAAAAUGGAGGAGUGUUGUGAUGAAUUCGCCCAACCUUUUUUCACUGUUCCUGUUGAUAAGUAUGGGCAUUCGGGUUGGUCUCCGCUAGGAUCCUACUUCCUCACAUCUCACGACCACAGGGUUUUAAUUUGGGGCUCAAAAGAUUAUCUGAAUCACUUUGGCAGCCUCAUGUGUUUUAAUCACCAAAAGGUAGAACACUUUGAUGUAUCUCCUGGGGAGAAAUACUUGGUAACCUACAACAGACCAAAGCCAACAGACCAAACAUUCGGCCCAGCAUAUGUCAGAACUAAAAUGUUACAAGCACUAGACAUUAUCUGAAACACAUGCAACCUAGUUCUAUAAGCAUGGAUAGGCUGGGGCAUUUUUUCCAGAUCCGAAAA